UGCAAGUCGAACGGAGCUUAGAGAGCUUGCUUUUUAAGCUUAGUGGCGAACGGGUGAGUAACGCGUGAGUAACCUGCCCUAGAGUGGGGGACAACAGUUGGAAACGACUGCUAAUACCGCAUAAGCCCACGGUGCCGCAUGACACUGAGGGAAAAGGAUUUAUUCGCUUUAGGAUGGACUCGCGUCCAAUUAGCUAGUUGGUGAGGUAACGGCCCACCAAGGCGACGAUUGGUAGCCGGACUGAGAGGUUGAACGGCCACAUUGGGACUGAGACACGGCCCAGACUCCUACGGGAGGCAGCAGUGGGGGAUAUUGCACAAUGGGGGAAACCCUGAUGCAGCGACGCCGCGUGGAGGAAGAAGGUUUUCGGAUUGUAAACUCCUGUCGUUAGGGACGAUAAUGACGGUACCUAACAAGAAAGCACCGGCUAACUACGUGCCAGCAGCCGCGGUAAAACGUAGGGUGCAAGCGUUGUCCGGAAUUACUGGGUGUAAAGGGAGCGCAGGCGGGAAGACAAGUUGGAAGUGAAAACCAUGGGCUCAACCC
This 546-nucleotide ribosomal RNA is filed under the name uncultured bacterium. RNAcentral describes it as "bacterial SSU rRNA". It matches the Rfam family "Bacterial small subunit ribosomal RNA", at positions 56 to 615 of the family's 1533-position model. The record is from RNAcentral.